UGGAGAAGGAUGUGGAAUUGCACAGACAACCAGGAUGUUGGCUCAGAAGCAGCCAUUCAUUUAAAGAGUGCGUAAUAGCUCACUGGUCGAGUGAUUGUGCGCCGAAGAUUCAACGGGGCUAAAACCAUCCGCCGAAGCUUCGGGAUCAUCGAAAGAUGAUCGGUAGAGGAGCAUUGUAUAAGCGCAGAAGCUGGAGCGAAAGCACCAGUGGAGUUUAUAGAAGAGAGAAUGCCGGUAUGAGUAACGAGAUGUAAGCGAGAAACUUACACGUCGAAAGCCCAAGGAUUCCUGGGGAAGGUUCAUCCGCCCAGGGUAAGUCGGGGCCUAAGCCGAGGACGAUAGUCGUAGGCGAUGGAAAACAGGUUGAGAUUCCUGUACCGCCCAUAUGAGUGAUGCAUUGACACAGAAGGAUAGCAUGAGCCGGUUGAUGGUAGAGCCGGUCGAAGAGCGUAGGCUGCUUGGUAGUGAAGUACGCUAGGCAUAAGGCUGAAACUUGAUAGGGAGCGAAAAUAAGUAGCGAAGCAUGCGAAUCCCCGCUGGCGAGAAAAGAUGCUGGCAAUGAUAUGGGCGCCCGUACCGCAAACCGACGCAGGUGGGCGAGGAGAGAAUCCUAAGACGAACGAGAGAACCCUUGUUAAGGAACUCGGCAAAAUGACCCCGUAACUUCGGGAGAAGGGGUGCCUCGAAAGAGGCCGCAGAGAAUAGGCCCAAGCGACUGUUUAGCAAAAACACAGGUUUGUGCGAAAGCGAGAGCUGACGUAUACGAGCUGACGCCUGCCCGGUGCUGGAAGGUUAAGAGGAGUUGUCAUCGCAAGAGAAGCAGCGAAUUGAAGCCCCAGUAAACGGCGGCCGUAACUAUAACGGUCCUAAGGUAGCGAAAUUCCUUGUCGGGUAAGUUCCGACCCGCACGAAUGGCGUAACGACUUGGGCGCUGUCUCAACAAGGGACUCGGUGAAAUUGAAGUAUGGGUGAAGAUGCCCAUUACCCGCGACUGGACGGAAAGACCCCGUAGAGCUUUACUGUAGCUUAUCAUUGGAAUUUGGUAACGGAUGUACAGGAUAGGUGGGACGCAGAGAAGUGUAGACGUCAGUUUGCAUGGAGCGGCCGUUGGGAUACCACUCUUCUGUUACUGAAUUUCUAACAACGUGCAAUGAGCUUGGCGAUGGACAGUGAUAGGUGGGCAGUUUGACUGGGGCGGUCGCCUCCCAAAGAGUAACGGAGGCGCCCAAAGGUUCCCUCAGAAUGGAUGGAAAUCAUUCGCAGAGUGCAAAGGCAGAAGGGAGCCUGACUGCGAGACGGACAGGUCGAGCAGAGAGGAAACUCGGGCUUAGUGAUCAGGCGGUAUCGAGUGGAAGAGCCGUCGCUCAACGGAUAAAAGCUACCUCGGGGAUAACAGGCUGAUCUCCCCCAA
RNAcentral lists this ribosomal RNA (1411 nucleotides) under human gut metagenome. Its description in RNAcentral is "bacterial LSU rRNA". It matches the Rfam family "Bacterial large subunit ribosomal RNA", at positions 1064 to 2495 of the family's 2925-position model. The record is from RNAcentral.